This 256-nucleotide long non-coding RNA is filed under the name Lathyrus oleraceus (garden pea). Its description in RNAcentral is "Pisum sativum (pea) long non-coding RNA (PSAT_LNC002990)". The record is from RNAcentral. Lineage: Eukaryota; Viridiplantae; Streptophyta; Magnoliopsida; Fabales; Fabaceae.
AAGAAGUGAAUUCAAUGUUGUAGAUCAGCUUCUCCAGACUCCGUCAAAGAUCUUCGUGUUGUCACUACUGAUGAAUUCUGAAGCGCGUAGAGAAGCUUUAUAGGAAGUGUUGGAACAUGCCUAUAUUGAGCAUAAUUUGAUUCGCUGUCGCACACUGGUCAAAAACGAGUUUAAAUAUGUAGUAAAAUGAAAGCGACGCUCGAAUGUUGUAUCACAAUGACUCUUGAAUGUUAUAACCAAACGAAUGAAAAGAAGG